This 99-nucleotide signal recognition particle RNA is filed under the name marine eukaryotic metagenome. RNAcentral's name for it is "Bacteroidales small SRP". It matches the Rfam family "Bacteroidales small SRP". From Rfam's summary of the family: The non-coding component of the signal recognition particle in Bacteroides The record is from RNAcentral.
UGGGGCAAGUCUCUUGCGACCAGCUCCCGCAGAACCCCCCAGGGCCGGAAGGCAGCAAGGGUAUGCGGUUGUAGCGGUGCGACAAGAAUCGCUUGCCCU